CGCCCUUAGAGUUUGAUCAUGGCUCAGGACGAACGCUGGCGGCGUGCCUAAUACAUGCAAGUCGAACGCAGCUUGCUUUGGUAAGAUGAGUGGCGAACGGGUGAGUAACACGUGGGUAACCUGCCUAUCAGAGGGGGAUAACACUUGGAAACAGGUGCUAAUACCGCAUAGAUUUCUUUCGCAUGAAAAGAGAGGAAAGACGUACGUGUCACUGAUAGAUGGACCCGCGGUGCAUUAGCUAGUUGGUGAGGUAACGGCUCACCAAGGCCAUGAUGCAUAGCCGACCUGAGAGGGUGAUCGGCCACACUGGGACUGAGACACGGCCCAGACUCCUACGGGAGGCAGCAGUAGGGAAUCUUCGGCAAUGGACGAAAGUCUGACCGAGCAACGCCGCGUGAGUGAAGAAGGUUUUCGGAUCGUAAAACUCUGUUGUUAGAGAAGAAUAGGUAGGAGUGACUUCCUGCCAUGACGGUAUCUAACCAGAAAGCCACGGCUAACUACGUGCCAGCAGCCACGGUAAUACGUACGUGGCAAGCGUUGUCCGGAUUUAUUGGGCGUAAAGCGAGCGCAGCGGUUUCUUAAGUCUGAUGUGAAAGCCCCCGGCUUAACCGGGGAGGGUCAUUGGAAACUGGGAGACUUGAGUGCAGAAGAGGAGAGUGGAAUUCCAUGUGUAGCGGUGAAAUGCGUA
Molecule: ribosomal RNA, 688 nt
Filed under: uncultured Vagococcus sp.
Lineage: Bacteria; Bacillati; Bacillota; Bacilli; Lactobacillales; Enterococcaceae
Description: bacterial SSU rRNA
Rfam family: Bacterial small subunit ribosomal RNA
Source: RNAcentral